UUAUGUACUAGCACUAACGUAUUGGAUUCCAUCAGAACUCUGAAGUUAGAUGUGUUUGGGCGAGAAUAGUACUAGGAUGAGUAACCUCAUGGGAAGUCCUUGUGUUGCAUCCC
This 113-nucleotide ribosomal RNA is filed under the name Nicotiana sylvestris (wood tobacco). Lineage: Eukaryota; Viridiplantae; Streptophyta; Magnoliopsida; Solanales; Solanaceae. The record is from RNAcentral.